UUUUUUUUUUUUUUGUCUUUACAGGGCUUCACCCAUGGCAUAUGGAGGUUCCCAGGCUAGGGGUCAAAUCAGAACUACAGCUGCCAGCCCACGCCAUGGCCACAGCAAUGUGAGUGAGAUCUGAGUCGUGUCUGCGACCUACACCACAGCUCAUGGCAACGCCAAAUCCUUAACCCACUGAGCGAGGCCAGGGAUCGAACCCGCAUCCUCAUGGAUACUAGUCGGGUUCGUUACUGCUGAGCCACGACAAGAAUUCCCCUCCCUCCCCUCAUUUCCUCACUCCCCCAUCCCCGACUGCCCCCCAAGCAUCCCACAUUCUCCCUGUAGUAGCACAGCAAGUUGCCCCUCCUCCAACCUCCAGGUCCUCAAGUCUCAACUUUCUGCCUCCAGCACUCUGCAACUUUUUCUAUUACACCUAAUUUUCCAAACCUAGAUGCUUCUAUUCCCAAGAGGAAUCCUGGCGCCAGCUAUUAAGAAAGAGUGAGACUUUCUCCACCUUGCUACAAAGAGCUAAGUGCACUGGUGACUCGAAGACAAACCCAAAGUGCUAUGGAGGGGCGGAAGGAGGAGGGAGAGCAGGAGAUGGGUCAGGAAGGGUUUCCUGGCUGCUUCUAAGUGGUCUGACUCUCUCUCUUCCAAAUUCACAUGACAUUGAUUGCCUGCCUCACUCCUUAGACACUUGUCCUCUGCUGCCUCCUGCUAUUUCUCUUUCCACCUGUCCAAGCGUUUUGUCUCCCUGACCCGAUUUUUUUGCAGCUUCAACACAGCAGCUUUUUCCAUUCCUCCCCAGAACGCUCACGGGUGAUGGGCCUCACCAGUGGGUCUGUUGAGUCUCAACCUGCGGGAGCCGUAUGAUUUGCCUAGUUUUGCAAUACCAUCCCUAAAUUUCCCCCCAAAAGGCCACAUGGCAGGAGUGUUCUAAUUAAAAGAAGUUAAAAUACCUCUAAGAAUACACUGAGUAUUUAACCAGUGUGCUGGAUAUCUGGAAACGCCUAUUUGUGUUACACCAAUCAGCGGCUGAAAAGGACUAACAUGUAUUGAAGUACCCAUAGGGACCAGCCAUCUGCUUCCAUUCUCACAAUCAUCUUUUGAAGUGCGAUGAGGGGAUCUGCCAAAGAUCACACCACUACAGAGCAGGACCUAGAAUUUUAACCGAGGAACACCUCGCUUGAAAGCUCCCAUUCUGAUACCCCGUAUCUUUACAAUAAUAAUACUUCCUUAGAGACAUUCAAAUUCUCACAAGGAAAGAGAAGAAUGAUUAUCCAGAAUAUAGACUAGGAUACAGACUAAACAAGAACCACCCCAAUAGUUAGGGUCCUGGAGUAGCAGAAAGAAAGGUGACUCUAUGAACUUGAAAAGUGCUUUCACCUUUCUGAGCUUCAGGUUAUUUAUUUGCACACACGCAGCCUUACAGGGUUGAUGUCAACCCUAAAUUAUGUGUUUGUGUGUGUGUGUGUAUCUAUCUAACAUAUAUAUAUAUAUAAAUAAAUACCUGGUAAGUAGUGUUCAGUGGAAUUGUUGCUUCCUUUUGCAGAAUGUAAAGUGGGCAUUGAUACUCAGGCCUGACAUUCAGUUUAGUUGGGCAUGUGUUUUUGUUUGUUUGUUUGUUUUGCUGUGUUGCAUGCACUUGGGGCAUGCAGAAGUUCCAGGGCCAGCAAUCGAACCCAUGCCACAGCAGUGACCUGAGCCAUAGCAGUGAUAAUGCUUGAUACUUAACCCACUAAGGCACCAGGGCACUCCAAGGGCAUAUGUUUUUUUAAUUAACAUAUUGCAUUAAUGGGGGGGGAUAUUAGGUGAAUCACACAAGAGCAUAUUAAUCAUUAACUUAAUAUCAUCCAAAAACAACUACUGUUCUUGGAGGUAAAUUGGCACCACCAUCGAUAUCCUUCAAAGCCCUCCUGCACAUGAUCUCACACAGCUUCCUAAACAAGAUGCUUUGAAUUAGUUGCUCUCAGCCCUUGUACAAAGUAAGAGGGUUUCAUGUAUGAGCAUUAGAAACUGUGAGGAAGUAUUGGGGGGCUGGUGUAGGGAGAUGAGAACACGCUUCCCAGUCCUUCAACUACACCAAGUCCUGCUGGAUUGUGUUUCUAUCAACACAGGCUUGGCAGUGAAUUAGAGCUGGAUUUUAGCUCAUCCAAUUCUCAGCUGUGUGACCCUGAGUUUUAAAUUUCAUUUUCUCAUCUAUAAAACGGGGAUGAUAUUUUCCAUCUUCUAAGGCUGUUGUGAAGAUUAAGUUAAAUGAUGAAUUUAAAGCACUCAAUACAGUAUUUGAUGCAUUAUAAGCCCUUUAAAAAGUUGGUUACUAUUUUAGUAUUAACAGGGACCAUGGCCUUGAAGUUCUAAGAUGCAAGGCAAUGAAAGAAGGAAAGAAAGAAAGAAAGAAAGAAAGAAAGAAAGAAAGAAAGAAAGAAAGAAAAAAGAAAGGCUCCCUGUUGCUAGAGGGUCAAGUUCAAUGCAAUAUUUGAGCAUAGAGCAUCUACCAUAAUCUGGCCCCAAGCCUCUAUUUUACCCUAUGGUUACCUGCACACACUCCGCAAAAACCUCCUUAGCUCCUCAGGGCAAGCAGAAGUCCUCCCUUUGUUUUCUAGAGUACUUUGCAUACACUUUGGUAUUUUCCCUAAUCGCAACAUAUUCUCACGAUUCGCACAUCUACCUCCACUCUACCCUACUGCGUCCCGGGCUGUGAGUUUAUGAAUGGAAACCAUACACCCUGUUUGUACUAGCAGCCAUUCCGCAUUCUGUAGGUCGUGGUUGGAUGGAUGGAUGGUGGAGAGAUGGAUGGAUAAGGACCAUGGAACAACGUACUGACUUGAUAAAGGAAUUAGAACCAGGUACCUAGGGGACUGAGCAAGACAGUCUUGGUUUGCUUCAUAAAUUUUCCUAAGCCAGGUCUGAGCAAAAGUCUAGAUGACAUGACAUUCGCAGAAUUGUCUUGCUGAUGAGGUGGCUGAGUAAUCUGUGUGUGCCUUCUAGGGAAUGCAUGACUGGGUGGUGACUGUUGUCAGGGCCAAUAUCAGACAGAACACCUUAGGAACCAGGAAACCAAGCCAGAAUGGUGCCUCUAAGAGUUCCUGAAGCCGUCAAGGUUAUCAAGUUAAGCAGUUAGGAGCAACAAGUAUUUCCAGGUGUGGUCAAUUGCUAACAGGGCAGACAGACUCGUGGACACCAACCAUUUUCCCCGUGAUCACAUCACUGUAAACAAUGACACAAGAUCUAGAAAUAGAAAGGGGAUAUACCAUGUGAUUCCCACAGCGGAUAAACUAUCUGGAGUUAACAGUUCAAAGUACCUAGAAUACAAAAUAUUUUAGAACACUGAGCACUAUAAUGCCAUGGGUGUGGCCAAAAAUGAAAAAAUGAAAGUUUUUUAAAAAGCAAUAUAGAGGGAGAUUUAUAUCUUGACUUUUCAGGAAUCAUUAUUUUUCUUUUAUUUUACCCUUUUUGUUAAAGGCAACUGAAAAAGAUAUUUAAUUAUUGAUCAUUUAUGAUGUACUUCAUACUUUUUAAAAAAGGUGAUAUGCGGGAGUCAGCUCCAGACCAGCCCAGGAGAGCAAAAUGUAUGCAUUUCUUCUCACUUCUACCUUAGAUGAUUUCACAAGGGCAUCUUAAAAUCAGCCAUGGCAGGAGUAUUUACACCACAGAAAUAGGCAAACACUACAAAUCUGGGUUUCCUACUCCCAUUUCCUCUUACUGCUGAUGGUUAAGCCUUCAGCCGUACACCACAGCAUACACCACAGUGAAUGAUCCCAAGUAAUCCUCUCAACACUCCUAUUUUACAGAUGGUAAACUGAAGUUCAGCGAGAUUAAACAACAACAAAAAACUUACUACCAACUCUUUUGUGGUAAAGGCAGGAUUAAAAGUGACACCAUCUGCCUCCAAAGUUGAUGCAAUUAACCAUGUUGAAGGGAACACUUCCUAACUCAUUCUGUAAGGCCAGUAGGUAUCACACUGAUCCCAAAAGCAGAGAUAAAAAAAAUCACAAGAGGAGUUCCUGUUGGGGUUCAGGGGUUUAUGAACCCGACUAGUAUUCACGAGGAUGCAGGUUCGAUCCCUGGCCCCACUCAGUGAGUUAAAGAUUCGGCAUUGCCAUGAGCUGUGGUGUAGGUAGCAGACACGGCUUGGAUCCCAUCUUGGUGUGGCUGUGAUGUAGAGUGGCAGCUACAGCUCUCAUUUGACCUGGGAACUUCCAUAUGCUGCAGGUGCAGCUCAAAACGAAAACAAAAACAAACAAGAAAACCAACUUCCUGAAGAAGGCAACAUGUGGCUCAAAACCACGAUGAGAUAUCACUCCAUACCUAUAAAGAUGGCUAUUAAACAAACAAGAAACAAAAAUGGAAAUGAGUGUUUACAAGGGUGUGGAGACACUGCAACUCUCCUAUAUUGCGGGGAGGGAUGUAAAAUCAUACAGUCCCAGUAGAAAACAGUUUGGUCAUUCCUCAGUAAGUGAAACAUAGAACUACCAUAUGACACAGCAGUUCCACUCCUACUAUAUACUCCAAAGAAUCGAAAAGAGGGAUGCAAAGAGUGUGCCAGUGUUCAUUGCAACACUAUUCACAACAGCCAAAAGGUGGAAACGAUCCAAGGGUCCCUCGACCGACGAAGGGAAAAAAUAUGGUCUAGACACACGAUAGAGUAAUAUUCAGCCAUUAAAAGGAAUGAAGUUCGGAGACAAAUUACAACACGCAUGAACCUUGAAAUAAGCCGGACACAAAAGAACAAAUAUUGUAGGAAGUACACAGAGACAGAAAAUAAAUUAGUGCUCAUCAGGGGCCGGAGGGAGGAGUAAUGGGAAGUUAUUGCUUGAUGGGUACAGUUUCUGUUUGGGGUAAUGGGCAAGUUUUAGAAAUAGACAGUGGUAGCGGUUGCAUAACAUUGUGAAUAAUUAAUGCCACUAAAUUAUACACUUAAAACGGUUAAAAUAGCAUAUUUGUGUUUAUUUCCCCAGAUUAAAAAAAAAAGUCCCUAAUU
This 4966-nucleotide long non-coding RNA is filed under the name Sus scrofa (pig). Its description in RNAcentral is "lncRNA (ENSSSCG00030043545.1)". Lineage: Eukaryota; Metazoa; Chordata; Mammalia; Artiodactyla; Suidae. The record is from RNAcentral.